AGGUGGGGUGAGCUGUGCCAAGAGCGCUCGGUGAAGUCGGGGAGGCGAGGAGAAGCCCCGCGCCGACAGCCAGGCUGGGGCCGCAGGGCGGCUGCGGUCCACUUCCGAGUCCGCCCCACGCGGCCACGCUCACAGGAGCCGGUCAGCCCUCCCACACCGCAGGUGCUCCUGCCGGGCCUGCCCUCCCCACAGGGUCCCAGGCCGCAGCUCUCGCGCCCUCUCCAUGAGAUGCCUGCUCGCUCCCAGGACGUUUCCAGACAUCCGUCUUCGCAGCUGGACUCGCCUGCCCGCCGUGUGCUGCCUUCUGGCCCGCUGGCCUGAAUGCAGUGCCCAGGGCAGGCAGGUCUGUGUGCGAAGGGCAAGGCCAGCAGCCCCGCCCCUCCCCUGUGCUCAGGAACCCAGAAUCUCAGACCUGGAAGGGCUCGCAGUGGCCCUCCAGGCAGCACAGCAGCUGGUGAACACCCAGGCUCCCACUCGGGCCUGCCCCAAAGCCCGGCUCUGCAGCCCACGAGCUGUGCGGCCUCCAGCGGCCACCUAGCCGCUCUGGGUCGGCUCUCACCGGAAGCGGGAGCACCAGUGUUACGUGGGAAGACAGAAGUCAGCCCGUGUGUGAGAGCGGCCGAAGGAAACAGCGUCCAUGGAAGGGAGGGAAGCAGCUCUCAGCAAAGUCCUGCCUGGACCCUGGUAGCUUCACAGGGGGUCCCGGCCUUCCCCAGGGAGGCCCGGCGCUGGGCGGGCUACCAGGCGGGUAACUGGGCAAUUAAACCUACAAGCAGCUUUACCUGUUGCAUAGCCAAGCAAUCCCUUCAUCCAGGAGGAGAGGGUGGGGAUUGGGGGGGGUGAAACGGCAGGAACACCUGGCCCCCACUCCACUCCCUCACAAGCCCCAGUCCUCCCGAGCCACCGGCCAGGGCUGUCAGCUGUGUGCCAGCUCUCAUGUCUGCUUAGGUGCCCCUUGCCUGCCAGGUGUGUUCUCUCCAUUAAACCCUAACCUUGCCACCCCA
Oryctolagus cuniculus (rabbit) is the source of this 1004-nucleotide non-coding RNA. The record is from RefSeq and is a predicted model, not a curated record. NCBI's taxonomy places the organism in Eukaryota, Metazoa, Chordata, Mammalia, Lagomorpha, Leporidae.